GGUUCUAUGGUGUAAUGGGUAGCACACUGGACUCUGAAUCCAGCAAUCUGAGUUCGAAUCUUGGUAGGACAU
RNAcentral lists this transfer RNA (72 nucleotides) under Danionella translucida. It matches the Rfam family "tRNA". From Rfam's summary of the family: Transfer RNA (tRNA) molecules are approximately 80 nucleotides in length. Their secondary structure includes four short double-helical elements and three loops (D, anti-codon, and T loops). Lineage: Eukaryota; Metazoa; Chordata; Actinopteri; Cypriniformes; Danionidae. The record is from Rfam by way of RNAcentral. RNAcentral also lists the same sequence under 1 other name.